Molecule: ribosomal RNA, 456 nt
Filed under: uncultured organism
Description: bacterial SSU rRNA
Rfam family: Bacterial small subunit ribosomal RNA
Source: RNAcentral
GCGCAGCAGUCGAGAAUUUUUCUCAAUGGGCGAAAGCCUGAAGGAGCGACGCCGCGUGGAGGAUGAAGGCUUUCGGGUUGUAAACUCCUGUCAUUUGAGAACAAGUGUAGCCAAAUAACUACUGGCUACUUGAUAGUAUCAGAAGAGGAAGAGACGGCUAACUCUGUGCCAGCAGCCGCGGUAAUACAGAGGUCUCAAGCGUUGUUCGGAUUCAUUGGGCGUAAAGGGUGCGUAGGUGGCGCGCUAAGUCAGGUGUGAAAUCUCGGGGCUUAACUCCGAAACUGCAUUUGAUACUGGCGUGCUUGAGGACUGGAGAGGAGACUGGAAUUCAUGGUGUAGCAGUGAAAUGCGUAGAGAUCAUGAGGAAGACCGGUGGCGAAGGCGGGUCUCUGGACAGUUCCUGACACUGAGGCACGAAGGCCAGGGGAGCAAAACGGGAUUAGAUACCCCUGUAGU